Molecule: ribosomal RNA, 253 nt
Filed under: uncultured prokaryote
Description: partial 16S ribosomal RNA
Rfam family: Bacterial small subunit ribosomal RNA
Source: RNAcentral
GACGUAGGAUGCAAGCGUUGUCCGGAUUUAUUGGGCGUAAAGAGUUCGUAGGUGGUUUGUUAAGUCUGAUGUUAAAGACUGGGGCUCAACCUCGGAAAUGCAUUGGAUACUGGCAGACUUGAGUGCAGUAGAGGCAAGUGGAAUUCCAGGUGUAGCGGUGAAAUGCGUAGAUAUCUGGAAGAACACCGGUGGCGCAAGCGACUUGCUGGGCUGUAACUGACGCUGAGGAACGAAAGCUAGGGGAGCAAAUGGG